This 544-nucleotide ribosomal RNA is filed under the name uncultured Clostridium sp. RNAcentral's name for it is "bacterial SSU rRNA". It matches the Rfam family "Bacterial small subunit ribosomal RNA", at positions 8 to 570 of the family's 1533-position model. The record is from RNAcentral. Lineage: Bacteria; Bacillati; Bacillota; Clostridia; Eubacteriales; Clostridiaceae.
AGAGUUUGAUCCUGGCUCAGGACGAACGCUGGCGGCGUGCUUAACACAUGCAAGUCGAGCGAUGAGCUCCUUCGGGAGUGGAUUAGCGGCGGACGGGUGAGUAACACGUGGGUAACCUGCCUCAUAGAGGGGAAUAGCCUUUCGAAAGGAAGAUUAAUACCGCAUAAGAUUGUAGUACCGCAUGGUACAGCAAUUAAAGGAGUAAUCCGCUAUGAGAUGGACCCGCGUCGCAUUAGCUAGUUGGUGAGGUAACGGCUCACCAAGGCGACGAUGCGUAGCCGACCUGAGAGGGUGAUCGGCCACAUUGGGACUGAGACACGGCCCAGACUCCUACGGGAGGCAGCAGUGGGGAAUAUUGCACAAUGGGGGAAACCCUGAUGCAGCAACGCCGCGUGAGUGAUGACGGCCUUCGGGUUGUAAAGCUCUGUCUUUGGGGACGAUAAUGACGGUACCCAAGGAGGAAGCCACGGCUAACUACGUGCCAGCAGCCGCGGUAAUACGUAGGUGGCAAGCGUUGUCCGGAUUUACUGGGCGUAAAGGGAGC